This 123-nucleotide ribosomal RNA is filed under the name Triticum aestivum (bread wheat). RNAcentral's name for it is "partial small subunit ribosomal RNA". The record is from RNAcentral. Lineage: Eukaryota; Viridiplantae; Streptophyta; Magnoliopsida; Poales; Poaceae.
AUGAUGGCAAGUGAUGGCUACAAACAUCUCAAAAGCAGUUGCCCAUCUGCCCUCAAGGAGUUGAUUGCUAGGCUCCUGCCGCCUUAUAUGAAAGCUGCCAAGGAUAUUGUCAUGGCACUUUAG